Molecule: ribosomal RNA, 238 nt
Filed under: uncultured bacterium
Lineage: Bacteria
Description: partial 16S ribosomal RNA
Rfam family: Bacterial small subunit ribosomal RNA
Source: RNAcentral
CGGCGGACGGGUGAGUAACGCGUGGGUAACCUACCCUGUACACACGGAUAACAUACCGAAAGGUAUGCUAAUACGGGAUAAUAUAUUUGAGAGGCAUCUCCUGAAUAUCAAAGGUGAGCCAGUACAGGAUGGACCCGCGUCUGGUUAGCUAGUUGGUAAGGUAACGGCUUACCAAGGCGACGAUCAGUAGCCGACCUGAGAGGGUGAUCGGCCACAUUGGAACUGAGACACGGUCCAA